GCACUGUUGAAGAGUCCCACAACAGGACGAAACGGCUGUCCAGUGC
Molecule: non-coding RNA, 46 nt
Filed under: Schistosoma mattheei
Lineage: Eukaryota; Metazoa; Platyhelminthes; Trematoda; Strigeidida; Schistosomatidae
Source: RNAcentral